This 67-nucleotide transfer RNA is filed under the name Curculio davidi. Its description in RNAcentral is "tRNA-Leu". Lineage: Eukaryota; Metazoa; Arthropoda; Insecta; Coleoptera; Curculionidae. The record is from RNAcentral.
AUUAUUUUGGCAGAUUAGUGCAAUGGAUUUAGAAUCUUUAUAAGUAAUUUUUUUUUUACAAAUAAUA